CCGAGAAUAUUCGACAAUGGGCGAAAGCCUGAUCGAGCGAUACCGCGUGGUGGAUGAAGCGAUUCGUCGCGUAAACAUCUUUUAUGAGGGAGGAAGUUAUUGACGUUACCUCAUGAAUAAGGGGCUCCUAACUCUGUGCCAGCAGGAGCGGUAAUACAGAGGCCCCGAGCGUUACCCGGAAUUACUGGGCGUAAAGAGUGCGUAGGUGGUCGUGUUAGUCGUUUGUUAAAUCCCUUGGCUCAACCGAGGAGAUGCGGGCGAAACGGCACGACUGGAGGGAGUGAGAGGUGAAUGGAACUCUAGGUGUAGGGGUGAAAUCCGUUGAUAUCUAGGGGAACACCAAAAGCGAAGGCAAUUCACUGGCACUUUCCUGACACUCAAGCACGAAAGCGUGGGUAGCGAACGGGAUUAGAUACCCCCGUAGUCC
Molecule: ribosomal RNA, 427 nt
Filed under: uncultured bacterium
Lineage: Bacteria
Description: bacterial SSU rRNA
Rfam family: Bacterial small subunit ribosomal RNA
Source: RNAcentral